GUGGGAAGAGAGGGGUGAAAACUUAUCAAAAGUAAAAUUGGAUUAAGAGUCAAUCAAAAUCCAACUGUGAAUUUAUCAUUUCAAUGAAUUUCAAUGAAUGGUUUAAAAUCUGUUUGAAAUCUAUUUGAAAAUGAAUAUGUAAUAAUAUAGACAUAUCUCCUUUUCAAAGCCAGUAUUGUCAGAUGUAUUCGGAGCAUUAUAAUUCAUGAACAGAGUAGAUGACUAUUUGAAAAGUAUUAAAAUGAGCUGACUUUUCAAUACAAGUGUCUUCACAAUAAGUUUUUCUAUUCUGGGCAAUUCAGAAAUGUAGACAAUUGUGCUAGAAAAAUAAUAUGUAUUGUAAUAUUCAUUGUACAGUAGUAGUGUAGUAAGUGGCAAUUCUGGACAUUACAAGAGACACAAGGAUUAUUUUCUGUGAUUGCACAGAGAAUACUUGGAUUUCUUGUGAAGCUUUUGCAUUGGAAAUGAGAUUCAUCAGUCUGAACAGGGCAGGGUUAGAGCCCUUAGCAACAUGCUUAUUUUGUAGAAGGUCACUCAAUAAUAACUUCCUCUGCCCUCCAAGCUUAUUAAGACUGACUGGCAUAUAUUAAUGAAAACACCUGAUUCUCCAACCAUAAAACCCAGACAAAGACUUUAUUUUAAUAUUAAGGAAGGAACCCUUAAUUAGCAGGGUUUCAAAAAUGUCAGCUUCUUCUAUUAGCUGUUCUGGUCCAUCAAAGCCAUAAUCCCUACUGUCAAAUUUCAUCACAUGAUAGACAGUUUGCCGGCUGUCUUUUUUUUUUUUUUUUUUAACUGAUCAUACUGACUGAAGCCUUUUAAAAAUUUUUUUAUUUUGCCAUCACAUUUUACAACUCAUUGUGCAUUUGCCUGUUACACUCUUGAUUUUACUACUUUCAAAGAGUCUUAGCACAUGUCAGCUCAAAAAGGUGGGGGGAAACACUGCUGAAACACAAGUAUUACAUGUGAAUACAUAUGCAUUCUUAGACGUAUAAUUAAGGAUUCUUGGAAGACCUGGGCUUGCUUAUAUUGAUUGCCUGCCUGAGUAUGUAAAUGUGCUGUCCCGAAAACACAGAUAAAUAAAAUGGUCUCAGAGAUGAUUUCCCAUUUUUUGAUGUAUCAAGGAGAAGGGGGCAAAUUCUAAGGAAGAACCCAGGAUUUUUUUACGGGAAACGUUCGUCACUGUUAACCAUUAACACACCUGUCUGUUGCAAGGAACUCAUUAGAGCAUCUAUGGCUUUGCAUUGCCCUUCAGAAGGAAGAUAAAAUGACUGCACCCAGCAGGACAGAAUAAAUAUAUAGCUCUUAGAGUACUUGGGUUUUAAUCUGAUUCAAAACAUUUGCUGUUGAUUAAAUCCUUUUGCAAAUUGAAAAAUUCAUACUAUCCAUACUGAGAGGAAUAUAAAAACACAACACCAAAUCAAAAACAAGGAUGACUCAAGGAUUUCAUGGGAACUUUUGUGAAGACUCAACUGCAGCUCUUGCUUUAUCCAUGGGAGAACAUGGAAGCCUCAAGGGCAAGAGUUUUAGUGUUCUGGAAUGAAUUACCAUGACUAGAAGCUCAAGAAUGAACUGAUGGAGACGGCUGAGACUUGGCAGAUUUAACUGCUAGAGACUGGUAAGCUCAUACCUGUGCUCUUUCAUGAGGAUCUGGGGCUCAUCGGAGAACACAGUGUGUUUUCUUAGCUCACCCGUUUGUAUCAGUAACGGAAUGGGCAAACUGUAUCCAUUUUUACUAGUACCCAGGUAUUUAUUUUCCCCUUUUUGCUUUAACAUUUUUUUUCUUCCUAGACUCCAGGCUAGAAAGGCUAUCCCUCUUAGAAUUUUGCAUAUCCUUUACUUAGCCAUUUCUUCCACGUGGAGAGCAGAAGUGUUCUCCACUGAGCUUUGGGAGACCCGCCCAGGGAGGAGCUGGGGUGAUCUCAAAUCCCCAUGCCCAACGUUCAGAGGUUUUCACAAUAGUGAAGCUCACUUGGUUCCUUUGCCCAGGAACAAGUCUUUCUGUUUCCAUCACUGACCACCCCUUUGAUUUUCUUAGCAUCUAUUCUACUGUCUCAUCAGCCUUGCAUAUCCGCGGACACAAAGCAAAGCCAAAUAAUCCCAAUUUCAAGCCACUAAUGAGUCAUUGUUACUGUAAUGCUUCUUGGUUGCUUCUGUAGAUGAAAUCGAGAUAGGUUACCAGAAAACGCACCUUCAACUAUUAGCUGAAUUUACAGCCAGCCCUUUCAUACGAUCUAAUGGCCAUGGUGACUGUCCACAAUUACAAAGUCUCUUGUUCUCCUUUUAAUUGCAUCAUUUAGAAGUCCCAUAGCUGAGACUGAUGAAUUCCUGCCUUUUCUGCUGAACAUUCAAAAGAGGCACCUUCCAGGAUAGCCAGAUAAGAAAGGGAUGUUUCUUGGACUCAAAACAUUUAUUUAGGUAUUCAGGACAGCCAGGUGCAGUUUUAUGACUAAUGGUAUACCCAAAGUGGGCUAUGUUUUAGAAGGUUUUCUAAUACUUACUUUUACAUGCUUCUAAUGGAGAAUACUGGUUAGGAAUGCAGACUCUAAAGGCACGUGACCUGGGAUCAAAACCAUUACCCACCUUGGGCAAGUUACUCUACUGUUUCCUCAACUAUAAACUAGAGCAAAUAAUGUUAUCUACCUAACUCUUGUCAAAAUUAAGUAAGAUAGCGCCCGCAAUGUGCCAAACAAAGCAUAUGGCAUAUAUUGAGUGAUCAGUGAGUGUAACCAUCUGUUAAUUCACUGCAGUAAGCUUCCUGAGGGCAGACAAAGCCAUUUCUGUCUAAUUCCCUGCUACAGCUCCUGGUACGUGGUAGGCAAUCGCUUUAUGUUGAGCGAGUGAAUAAAUAAAUAGCAUUACAAUUUUACUAAGAAAUGAGCUGAUUUCAAGGGUUUGGUAAAUGUUUGAGUCCCACAGUAAUAUGGUGGCUUAUUGAUUUUGCUUAUCCAUUCAUCAUAUUAACAGAAGCCUAUGCUUGGGCCAUCAAGUCUAUUCUGCUGAGACUUUCAAUCAAAACUGUGGCACAGUCAUUAGGACCUCGAGAAAGCCACUUGAGUUUGAUUCAGAAGCACAUUAAUAAAGUCAGGCUGAGAAACAGGAAAGUAGUGUGGUUGGCAUCCCAGAAAAUCGAUAUCCAACAUUUGUAGGAGCUUUGAGGAGUGUGUACUUCGAGCAAGAGGCAAUCUUUGGUUGGAAAAGUCAGCAUUUCUUAUCACCUCCUGGAGGCAGUUUGACAUUCCUCAUCUGGAACAGAAUGUUAUCCACUGCGAUGUGGUCCUUCCCACCUCCCCACUAUAAAGGUUGUUGUCAUUGUAAGUCAGAGGAAGACUGGUGAUGCAGAACUUGAGGGGGCUGCCAACGCCUACAUCCGGUGCAGGCUCAGGUCAGGCAAUCAUUCCUGCCUCAUAUUCUAGUGCUCUGCUUUGUUUGAGACAUUGCAUUGAUUGGAGGCAGGGUUGCAUUUUUCUCUUGGGAGUUGGAAAGGGCAGGGUUUAAAACCUAGCUAUGUCCAUUUCCAUGGGAGCCUGAAGAGGUUGUUUAACCUUUUCAAGCCUCCAUUUUCUCACCUGUAAAAUGGAGAUUUUGUACUUACUCUUCGGAUUUGAUGAGAUGAGUAAUGUGCUUAGCGUACACUAAGGGGUUAAUAGACGGCAGCCAUAAUUGUAAUAGUUACUACCCAUGUGUUCACUUUCACCCGAGUCAGAUUUGAUAAGAGAAACCAAUACAUGCCACACAGCAUACUAUUUUGCAAAAUAUUUAGAAAUUCCCCAAACUGUUACUACUCAUGUUUUCAAUGUAUCUCAACCAUAAUCCUCUUCAAGUCCUUCUAGUUGUCAAAACAGCCUGAUUAAACAGUGGGAAUUUGAUACUAUGCUUGUUUUGCCUCAUUAGCACAACAGUGUGAACAGGGACGGGGUGGGGGGGCACCUGAGAGGGGGCGUCGGAGCAGAACGGCUAAGUAGGAAAACUAGUGGCCUCAGAAUGCAGACCGUCUUCUCAGGAACGGUUCUCAUAAUUUAUUCCUGCUCAGAUUGAAGGAAAACAGGAUGGGGCAUUUGUUUUCAAAUAGGGAACUGGACGUAAACGGCAUGACUUUUACAAACUUUGCAGUUUGCUGAGACCACGGGAUGGAGUACUGAGACUGGCUACCUCAGACACGAGGAGGAUUAAACAGGGAUUCCUUGCAGCUUUGUGCUCAUCCAAUAAGGGGGCUACAGGAGAAAGCAAAAGCAAACAGCAGAACACUAAACGGAGGAGGAGUCUUUUGGCUUCCUGAGUUACCUGCAUCCUUUUGCAAGGCUGAGUCAGUAUCCCUAGUCCUACUGGCAUUUGUGCAAUUUCUUCAAGCUCACAGCUCUGUCUCACUUACUGUCUUUAAGUCACAUACAUUAGGGUUCAUGUAUUCAAACAAGAAUGCCGUAACUACACGAGUUAGACUGGGAGCGGAGAGCCCUGGAGCAGAACCACCCUGGUGGAAAGCAGGAGAUCUGGCCGCCGUCCAGCGAGGAGCCUGGCAUGACAGAGGAAGAUGUAUCUGUACACCACGCUGCCGUGAACGGGAAGGAACCCAGGAAGUGCCUUUGCGGUGUGCGAGUCGGAGAGGUGAUGGGGUUUGACGUUCACGAAGGGGAGAGCCUGAGGAGGCCGCAAAUGGGGCAGGCCCUGGACGUGGAGCUCCAGGACAAGGCAGGAAAGUACGCAACGGCAGCCCCUAGCCAUCACGGAUGCCGUCCGGGUCGCAGGGGUCCACCCGCAGUUCCUGCCAGAACCGCCAGCAGGGUCAGAGUGGGGAAAGGAGGACGCGUGGGGAGAGUGCUCCGAGGCCAGGAGCCCUCAGCACUGCAGGACUCAGCUCGCACGUGGCCACAGGUGCAGAGCCGAGAGGUGGCAACCACCGCGGGUGCAGGGAGAAGUGCUGGAGGGCACCAUACCUGGGUGCCGAAGAACAAGGUAGACCAGUGAGACAGUCUGUAUGGCAGUUACAGACCACCAUGCUGCUGGGGGCCCUCCCGCCUCCCACUGCCUACAGAAGACCAGGCAAGUGAAUGGGAUGAGACCCAAGGUCAGCAGCCACCUCAGCGCUGGUCACAGACGCCCAGAAAACAAAAGCAGCCCCGCUGCGGAUCUGUCUGGUCCCGAGGUAGAGCAGGGCAGGGCUGAGCAAACGCGACCUACAUCUCUACCAUCAUCCUGUCUAGUCAUCCAACAAGAAGAAAUGAAUUGGAAAUUCCAGGAACGAGAAAACGGUGCCAAAGAUCAGAAGCGCUUGCUUUUUUUUUUUUUUUUUUUUUUUUUUUUUGCUCACUGACCAGAUGACGAGAACUACCUGUGUUAUCUGUGCAGCAUGGGGUUUUUAUUUUGACCUUAAAGACAUCUCUUUUUGCUAAUGACAAAUACUUUUUCUUCUCUCUCUCUCAAAGUCUGGCUUUUCUCAACACACCUUGAAAGGGUUUUAAUUGCUUCGUAUCUGGUCAAGGGGAGACUUUUAAGAACCUCCUUUUUAAUUUGUAAUAAAAGUUUAGAACUUGAUUUUUUUCAAAAAAGUCAACAAACAGCAAUCACCUGUUAAUAAAGGUCUUCAGAAAAACAAGAGUAUGAUAGAUAUGCUAUUGUUUCUAUGAAUUUCUUCCUACUAGUGGGGAAGGUACACAUCUACCCUGUUGUGUAAAAGAUUUCACAAAGCCACAUGCUUGCAUCUUAGGAAAGCAAAAGAACUGAGCUGGCUUUCUCUAAGACAAAUAAAGCAAAACAAACUAUGCUGUUUUUUACUCAAUACCUUUUCUAGUCUGAUCUGCUCCCACGAUGUCUUGGGGAAAUUCAGACAUACAGCCAAGAAAAGGUGAGGGAGAUAUGGGCUUCCAGCCUCAGACUGGAGACAAACCCUCUUACUGCAUGCUGGUUAUUUAUUCUCACUAGGUUCGCUACGUUUGUGUAUAAAAGAAAGACUGAAUUAAAAAGAUGAUCUACUCUG
Molecule: long non-coding RNA, 5971 nt
Organism: Herpailurus yagouaroundi (jaguarundi)
Lineage: Eukaryota; Metazoa; Chordata; Mammalia; Carnivora; Felidae
Exons: 4
Source: RefSeq, a predicted model, not a curated record